This 301-nucleotide unclassified non-coding RNA is filed under the name Hevea brasiliensis (rubber tree). Lineage: Eukaryota; Viridiplantae; Streptophyta; Magnoliopsida; Malpighiales; Euphorbiaceae. The record is from RNAcentral.
GACCAUUCAUACACCCCAUGAUGCAAACCAACAGAUAAAGACAACCCUCAAAAGCAAACUUUCACGAAUGCUUUUAGCCAAUUCAAAUUUUAAAAAUAUAGCAAAUCCUCAAUGAAGUAGUUAGCCAAUUUUAGGGAUUCUUGCAACUUUCCCUGAUGAAUCGACAUAUAAUCUAACUCUAUCCUGUUUAAAAUCCAUGGUAACAAAGCAAUCAGGUUGAACCACUUGAAUUUGAGCUCUAGGAAAAUCUUCCUUUAUCUUUCUUUCUGCUUCUUCCGCCAUGAGGCCGACUAGAUCAGGC